GGGGGAAAGGCCCCGGAUUCCCCACGAUGAUCGCGAUCACGACAAGGAAACGUAAGGCCGGGCUUAGGUCCCGUGGCCUGGCGGCCGGCGCUGGCCUGCGCUCGACACUAACUUGUGGUCCUCCCCACGAUGCGCUGAGAGAAGUGCUGCUACUGUUCCACUUUACAGGUGCGGGAACAGAUGUCCGGAAAACUCCAGGAAGCUGCGCGACUCACAGAGGUGUGUGAGCAGCGGGAACCCAGAAGCCACACCUGCCGGCUCCUGGCGAGGUCACGGAGCGGGGGGCGUCCUGCGGGGCCCUCCCUCCACGGCCCCCCUUCUACCCCCGUCAGGGAAGUCCCGCUCCCAGGACUGCCCCGCCCCGCGGCGUGGUUGCUGCAGCCCUGCACGGCACAGGAGCCGUCUCUACUCCUGCCCUGCUCCUGCGAGGGCCUGCAACGUGGGAGAGGGGCUCACUCUCAGACUCCGAACACAGAGGGCCCCCCCGGACCCUCUACUGAGGUCACGCCUCACUCUUGGCACCACAGUGGUAGCCUAGGGGCUGGUGGCCAGCCUCCCCACCGGGCUCCUGCUGCAGCCUCAACUGUCUUCCUAGAACACAAACCUGAUUACGCACGUCCCUCAUCAUAAUUGUUCUGAAAGCUGCUCCAGCAGAGGAACCCUCGAGAAAGCUGAGCUCGGACUAAUUCAAUCUACACCUAAUGGGAGGAGACAGACGGCCCUCCAGGCCUGGGAACCGCCAGACUGCAUCUGUGACACAGCAUAAUAAAGUAAUGUGACAAGGGCGGAGUGAGUAAAAAAACAGGUGUGUCCCCCGGUGACCUGGCAGGCGGGCCUGGGGUUCAGGCGGUAGGGAGCUCGCUACUCCAGCUGCAGCAGCAAAGCCUGGAACCCAUGAAUUGCCCCCCACAGUAUCAACCUCCCGUGGUUUGAAUUCUUACCCAGCAACCUUCAAACAACCAACCUGGCUCCCCAGGACCUCAGCACCAGAUUGGGGGUGUCCUGGAUGGGGUCUCAACAUUUCUGCCACUGAGAAGAGGUGCACUCACUCUUACAAAAUAACCUUGCUUUUUGGUGUACGCAUCAGUAAGGUCCGGAUAUAGCUGGCGAGAGGUCCAGGAAUGCCGUCUCUGUAUCUACAGGGCUCGGAGGUCCUGGAUUCUAGCAAAUUCAUGAAGAUUGUUGAGUCCCCACCAGACCUUCAGCCUGAGGACACUCCACCUUGCAACUGAUUCUUUCCACCUUCCCUGCCAACCAUGACCUGGAGUCCAAACUCUGCAUGGCGUCCAGAGCCUCUAAGUUCAGGCCGUUGGACAUGGCACCGCGAGCAGGUGUUCCCUCCCGCCUGACAGGGAGACCAGAGAAAGUUUCUUCAGCGCCUAAUGCAUCUCAGAGCCAACUGUAAAACUCAUUAUGUUCAGAAACUACAGAAUGGGACAAGGAUGACGAUGUUUGUCCAUACGCAUCCCUUUGAAGGCAAUCUAGGCUUUACAGCUUCCUACUCGCUUCAAAGGAGCCCUGCGUCUCUGUAAAGAUGAUGCUCAAGCCCCAGCCCUAUUGUGUUGGGACAAUGGUGAACCAGGAACCAAAGAGGGGUUGAAUGGAAGACUUCUGUGGGCACUUGAAACUAGACCUCGCUUCUCUGACUCUUCUUGGCCAGCCACAAUGACAACGAGAGAAGCUGUUGUAAGGUACACAUGCCACCAUUCCUGCCACAUGAUAUCCCUUCCCCAGGUGGCGUGAAAAGUCUCCAGUCUAGUCUCUCAAGACCCAUGGGAUUUGCCAGACACUGGCCAGUCAAGCACCACAUGCUCCACAUCUCCCUUCUAGCCACGCAAAUUGGAAUUUAUUCCCACAGAGAAACUCAAUGAGUUAAUAUCCCAAGGGCCUAAAGAGAAUUCAAGAAAAACUGGAUUUCUGUGAUCUAUCUUUUCCUAUCACCCUUCUGCACUCCCAAGACCGUCAGGUAUGGGAAUUUGGAUUACACACUGCGCAAAGGCACCGCGUGCCCUCCAUCACAGGAUGGACCUAAGACACUGUGUGUGUAGGUGUGGAGAUUCUGGGCCUUUCCAGCUGGGGCCGAAGCAUGAACACACAUGGGCACACAAGACCAUGCACAAUGGGGAAAGCUAGUAAGCAAACUCCCAGGCAGCAGCAUGGACGGGUGUCAGCGGCUCCCUGACCCGAGCAAGAUCUCGCCUCUCCCCUGCCUACCUGUCCCGGAGCCUCAGUCCCCUACUACAGGGCUCAAAACCUGACACAAUCGCCUCACCUGGGGGCCAAAAGAGGCUAGGCAUGGGUGUGGGUGUUGGAGGCCGUCUGUGCACCCGGCCUGGGGCAGGUGCAGGUGUGCUAUUCAUAGUCAGGCUUGCUGCCCUCUGGGUUCCGAGAAGCUCCCCAGAGCAAAG
Long non-coding RNA from Canis lupus familiaris (dog), 2408 nucleotides. RefSeq lists it as uncharacterized. The record is from RefSeq and is a predicted model, not a curated record. The transcript is spliced from 3 exons. Lineage: Eukaryota; Metazoa; Chordata; Mammalia; Carnivora; Canidae.